UAUCAUAUCAUAGAAAGAAAAAUAAUCACAAAAACACACACAUUUAAACAAAACAAAUAAAAAAAAAAAAAAACAAAAACCAAAAACCAAAAAAAUCUAGCCUCAUUCCCUCGCAUAACAACAGCAGUCUUUUCCUUGAACCACCAACAACAAUGUCUUCCGGCGCCAUUGACGACCCUUCCACCACCACAACAACCUUCUCUCAACCACCACAACACUACUUCUGCUAUCAAUGCAAUCGCACCGUCUCUCUCUCUCCUUCUUCUUCUUCCUCCGACGAGCUCGCUUGCCCCCAUUGCAAUGGCGGUUUCCUAGAAGAAGUCGAAAACCCUAACCCUUCUUCUUAUUCUUCUUCCUCUCCUUUCGCUCAAUUCUUCUCUCCUCCUCCUUCUGCUUCCGCUGCCGAUCAUCUUGCACCCUUUGCCCCCUUCUUCUUCCCCCCUUCUUCUUCUUCCGCCGCUUCUCCUAUUGAGCCUAUCGACCUCUCCGCCAUCUUCGGGGGUGGAGCUUUUGGAGGUUCUGGUAAUGGCGGAAAUGGUGGUAAUCAGAGAUCCCCUUUUCAGGAAACCGAUGUUUUCAACCCUUUUCAAUUUCUUCAGAGUUAUCUUCAGACUAUGCGAGCUGGGGGUGCUAACAUUCAAUUUGUUAUUGAGAAUGCUAACCCUGAACAAGGUGGCGGUGGUGGGAAUUUUAGGUUACCCUCGAAUUUGGGGGACUAUUUCUUUGGACCAGGGUUGGAGCAGUUGAUUCAGCAGCUAGCGGAGAAUGAUCCGAAUCGAUACGGUACGCCACCGGCCUCGAAAACCGCUGUGGAGGGGCUGCCUAUUGUUAAAGUAACGGAGGAAUUGCUGUUGUCUGACUCUUCACAAUGCGCUGUUUGUAUGGAUGAGUUUCAGCUUGGUGCUGAAGCUAAACAGAUGCCUUGUAAACAUGUUUUUCAUUCUGAUUGUAUUCUUCCUUGGUUGGAGUUGCAUAAUUCUUGCCCUGUUUGCCGGCACGAGCUGCCUACCGAUGAUCCUGAUUAUGAGCAGAGGAUUCGGAACCGGAGGGAGAAUCUGGGAUCUGGUGAUGGUGCUGGUGGCGGUGAUAAUGGUGAUGUGGGUGGUAAUGGUAAUAGAAUUGGUGGUGAUGGGGUGUCGUCUGAAACGGGUUCGCAGAAUGAUCGGACUGUGGAGAGGAGUUUUAACAUUUCGUUGCCUUGGCCGUUUAGAAAUGUUGGGUCUUCAGCCGAGGGGAGUAAUGCUUCCGGUGAUGGUAAUGAGGCGAACCCGAGGAGGAGGGGGAAUCCAGACUUUGGAUCAGAAACCCGAACAGAAGACCUUGAUUAAUGCUUGUGUGAUUUAGUGCAGGGUUGCAUAGUAGGACAGAUUGGAGGCUUGGAGCUCUAGAAAAAUACCGUGUGCUGAGUGCAUACUCUUUGGUCUAUCUCCUGGGUGCAUCUGUUAGAUUUGGCAGAAAUACAAUUGUUUUUAUACAGUGAAGAUUAGCUGAGAUACAUUCUUACCUUUAAUGGUAAUAAUUGUAGGUAAACUGUAUACUCGUUCAUGGUUCAAAAUUAUCUCAAUAUAGACUCAAAACAAAUGUGGCCCUUGAAAAAUUUUGUAUUUUAAUGUGUAUUCUAUACAGAAUAUGAUAUUAUGCUGUUUGGCCCCUGCUUUCUA
Chenopodium quinoa (quinoa) is the source of this 1661-nucleotide RNA transcript. It is a transcript of the gene named E3 ubiquitin-protein ligase RING1-like, with no coding region annotated. The record is from RefSeq and is a predicted model, not a curated record. The transcript has 3 exons. NCBI's taxonomy places the organism in Eukaryota, Viridiplantae, Streptophyta, Magnoliopsida, Caryophyllales, Amaranthaceae.